GUUGGGUGUGGUGGCCGGCGCCUGUAAUCCCAGCUACUCAGGAGGCUGAGGCACAAGAAUUGCUUGAACCUGGCAGGCGGAGGUUGUAGUGAGCCGAGAUCGUGCCACUGCACUCCAGCCUGGGACAGAGCAAGACUUUGUCUCAAAAAAAAAAAAAAAAAAUUACAAAUCUGAUAUAUAAUCAUUGGAAAACUUUUUUUUUUUUUUUUUUUUUUGAGAUAGAGUCUCACUCUGUCACCCAGGCUGGAGUGCAGUAGCAUGAUCUUGGCUCACUACAGCCUCUGCCUCCCAAGUUCAAGCAAUCUCCUGCCUCAA
Molecule: small RNA, 315 nt
Filed under: Pongo abelii (Sumatran orangutan)
Lineage: Eukaryota; Metazoa; Chordata; Mammalia; Primates; Hominidae
Description: Metazoan signal recognition particle RNA (ENSPPYG00000040916.1)
Source: RNAcentral